This is a non-coding RNA of Mauremys reevesii (Reeves's turtle), 929 nucleotides long. The record is from the annotation of a RefSeq genome assembly. Lineage: Eukaryota; Metazoa; Chordata; Testudines; Geoemydidae.
GGGUGUUGUGAAGUCACCCCUGUAGUCAUGUGACAUAGGCCCAUUGACUUGCAGGUGAUCUGUGUCUCAGCUGGGAAUCCAGAUCACUGCUCCCAGGCAGGGAGGAAUGUGCGCAGGCCCCUCUGGUUCAGCUGUUGCGUCUGUGAGCGUCAGAGUCUGGAGCCAAACCACAAACAGAUCCCUUCUGUUGUCUCCAGGUGUAGGAGAAGAACCAGUCCUACAGAGCAAAGCUGUAUAAAGGGCAGUGCUGGGGGAACAUCCCUGCUAGUGAGGCAGAGAUGGGGAUGCAAAUGGUCUGGUAUCUGUUCAUCUGUUACAUGGCUGCAAGAUGCUCAGGUGCUGAGAUCAACCAAACCGCGAGUCUGGUCCUGGAAAAGGGACACCAAGCCCAGCUCAUAUGUAAACAAACCUAUGGGCAUAACAACAUGUUCUGGUACCGGCAGGACCCAGGACAGGGUUUGCAGCUGCUCUUCCUCUUUGUUCAUAAAGAGCUAACAGACAAAGGAGGUGCAGAGGUCCGCUUCAAUCAGACACUGAGUCUGGUACUGGAGAGAGGAAAAAUAGCGGAGCUACAAUGUGAACAAAAUACUAAUUAUGAUUACAUGUACUGGUACCAGCAGCUUCAGGGCAAAGGAUUGCACCUGAUCUAUUACUCCUAUGAUACAGCUAAAGUCGAGCCAGGGAAUAUUUCUGAGAGAUUCACAGCCACCCGUCCACAAACUCAGCUCUUUCAGUUGAAAAUCUCACCUCUGAAGCCUGAGGACUCAGCUGUGUAUUUCUGCGCCAGCAGAUUAGACACAGUGCUUCAGAGCCACCUCCUCCCUCAACAAAAAACAGUUCCCCUUCCUGAACACCACUUCAGAGAGAGGAACGCCACCUCCUCAUCUCCCAUAGAGGAGGGAGGUGUACUGACACACAAAGGAAAAUAG